RNAcentral lists this long non-coding RNA (303 nucleotides) under Homo sapiens (human). RNAcentral describes it as "HSALNT0353524". The record is from RNAcentral. Lineage: Eukaryota; Metazoa; Chordata; Mammalia; Primates; Hominidae.
CUGAGAAUGUCAUCCUUUCUCUGCCCAAUUUUCAGCUUAAAUGACAACCCUAUGAGCAGGACUGUUUGCAGCUCAGGAUGUUUGCCAUCACAACGGCAGAGCCGCAGUUCACACCCAGGCACGUUCUCCCCAAGACCUGUGGCUGCAACCACUGCUAUGCAUGGAAUGUGAGACGGACGGUGCUCGCCUAGCCAACAGUUGAUGCUGAAUACAUCUUCAUCUGUGUAUUGACCAUCUACCCUUUUCCCAUGAUUUGUUUGUCAAAAUUCCUUGCUAAUUUCCUUAUUAAAAAUGGUCAGUAUU